Molecule: ribosomal RNA, 724 nt
Filed under: uncultured Flexibacteraceae bacterium
Lineage: Bacteria; Pseudomonadati; Bacteroidota; Cytophagia; Cytophagales; Cytophagaceae
Description: bacterial SSU rRNA
Rfam family: Bacterial small subunit ribosomal RNA
Source: RNAcentral
AACGGGUGCGUAACGCGUAAGGAACCUGCCCUUCACUGGGGGAUAGCUUUGCGAAAGCGAAGGUAAACCCGCAUGGUUCUGUGAGAUCGCAUGGUUUUACAGAUAAAUAUUUAUAGGUGAAGGAGGGUCUUGCGUCGGAUUAGUUAGUUGGCAGGGUAACGGCCUACCAAGACGAUGAUCCGUAGGGGCUCUGAGAGGAGCGGCCCCCACAUGGACACUGAGACACGGGUCCAACUCCUACGGGAGGCAGCAGUAGGGAAUAUUGGGCAAUGGCCGGAAGGCUGACCCAGCCAUGCCGCGUGGAGGAAGACGGCCCUCUGGGUUGUAAACUCCUUUUAUCGGGGAAGAACAGCACUCUUGCGAGGGUGUGUGACGGUACUCGAGGAAUAAGCACCGGCUAACUCCGUGCCAGCAGCCGCGGUAAUACGGAGGGUGCAAGCGUUGUCCGGAUUUAUUGGGUUUAAAGGGUGCGUAGGUGGUCUGAUAAGUCUGGUUUGAAAGUUGGUCGCUUAACGAUCAAGGGUGGCUGGAUACUGUUGGACUUGAAUGGGGUGGCGGUAGCCGGAAUGGGUUGUGUAGCGGUGAAAUGCAUAGAGAUGACCCGGAACACCGAUUGCGAAGGCAGGCUACUACGCCUUAAUUGACACUGAGGCACGAGAGCAUGGGGAGCAAACAGGAUUAGAUACCCUGGUAGUCCAUGCCGUAAACGAUGAUUACUGGCUGU